This 74-nucleotide transfer RNA is filed under the name Actinomycetes bacterium. RNAcentral describes it as "Actinobacteria bacterium tRNA-His". It matches the Rfam family "tRNA". From Rfam's summary of the family: Transfer RNA (tRNA) molecules are approximately 80 nucleotides in length. Their secondary structure includes four short double-helical elements and three loops (D, anti-codon, and T loops). The record is from RNAcentral. Lineage: Bacteria; Bacillati; Actinomycetota; Actinomycetes.
GUGGCUGUAGUUCAGGGGCAGAACGCCUGACUGUGGCUCAGGAGGUCGAGGGUUCAAAUCCCUUCAGCCACCCA